Molecule: long non-coding RNA, 861 nt
Organism: Oenanthe melanoleuca
Lineage: Eukaryota; Metazoa; Chordata; Aves; Passeriformes; Muscicapidae
Exons: 3
Source: RefSeq, a predicted model, not a curated record
UAUAUUAAUGGAAAUAUUACAUUUAGUCAAAAUCUGUAAAAUUCUUACAAAUAAGUCUAACCUGAUCUUUUUAAAAAUUUUCAUUGCAGGAAUGUAAGCUGCAACACAGCUACUCUUGGUGCAGACAGUUUUCCAAAGAAGAUAUUCCAUGCUUGGUAUAGCCAAGUAUGACGAAUCCCUCCUGCUCCUUUUUCUCCAACAAAACCACUGGAGGAGUUGUUUGCCCUCUUUAUUUUCAAAGUAUCUUCUCAGUCAAGUACAUUUCAAUGAAGGAUGAGCUUCUCCAAAAGCCUUUGUACGUUGCAGAAAGAUCAGAAGAGCCAUCUUUUUCCUCCCUUAACUGGACUGACACAAAAGAACCUGGGCUAUAUUGCCUUCCAGGUCAUCUCCAUUCAGUCUCAGGGAAACAGGACAUUGGCCACAGUCAGAGACAAGGCUUCUGUGGGGAUUUUACACCCCUGCAAGCUCCACAUCAGCAGUCCCUUCUCCACUAGAGCAUUUUAAAACAUUUGUUGGAUGAACAGGUUGUUAGUGAUGCUCUGGCCUUUCACUCUUCUGGGUACUGGCAGCUAACAGAAUGCUACAGAGAAUGGGGAAUACAGGGAUUUAAAAGGGCUAGAUCUCACACAAACAUAAUCAUCAUGGAGAACUUGGAGAGGCACAGCAGAGAGUGCAAUGGCUUCCCAUGGAGUGAACAGCUGGAGAAUGAUAACAUGGCCAGAUCCACCAUCAGAGGAGCAACAGGACUUUGCUCUGUACUAGGCACACCACAGCAUUCACCAGAAUAUCUGCACAUGUGAUUAAAUUAAAUAUGAUCACAAGUUAAGACACUUCUUUGGACCAGCUCUAGGUUCCAGCAUG